Molecule: transfer RNA, 76 nt
Filed under: Fidelibacterota bacterium
Lineage: Bacteria; Pseudomonadati; Fidelibacterota
Description: Candidatus Marinimicrobia bacterium tRNA-Asn
Rfam family: tRNA (bases 17-65)
About the family: Transfer RNA (tRNA) molecules are approximately 80 nucleotides in length. Their secondary structure includes four short double-helical elements and three loops (D, anti-codon, and T loops).
Source: RNAcentral
UUUGAGGAGUGACAUCUAGUGGCACAGUGGACUGUUAAUCCAUAUGUCGCAAGUUCGAGUCUUGCCCGGGGAGCCA